CUAUCAGCUUGUUGGUGGGGUGAUGGCCUACCAAGGCGACGACGGGUAGCCGGCCUGAGAGGGUGACCGGCCACACUGGGACUGAGACACGGCCCAGACUCCUACGGGAGGCAGCAGUGGGGAAUAUUGCGCAAUGGGCGGAAGCCUGACGCAGCGACGCCGCGUGAGGGAUGACGGCCUUCGGGUUGUAAACCUCUUUCAGCAGGGACGAAGCGCAAGUGACGGUACCUGCAGAAGAAGCACCGGCCAACUACGUGCCAGCAGCCGCGGUAAUACGUAGGGUGCAAGCGUUGUCCGGAAUUAUUGGGCGUAAAGAGCUCGUAGGCGGUUUGUCGCGUCGGCUGUGAAAGCCCGGAGCUCAACUCCGGGUCUGCAGUCGAUACGGGCAGACUUGAGUGUUGCAGGGGAGACUGGAAUUCCUGGUGUAGCGGUGAAAUGCGCAGAUAUCAGGAGGAACACCGGUGGCGAAGGCGGGUCUCUGGGCAACAACUGACGCUGAGGAGCGAAAGCGUGGGGAGCGAACAGGAUUAGAUACCCUGGUAGUCCACGCC
This 551-nucleotide ribosomal RNA is filed under the name uncultured bacterium. RNAcentral's name for it is "bacterial SSU rRNA". It matches the Rfam family "Bacterial small subunit ribosomal RNA", at positions 238 to 801 of the family's 1533-position model. The record is from RNAcentral.